GGAAACGUGCCCGAAACAUAAGGACCUCCUUGAUAGGGAGACCCACAUGGGCUUAAAUCCCAUCGCUUCCU
RNAcentral lists this transfer RNA (71 nucleotides) under Synapturanus sp. MZUSP 159215. RNAcentral describes it as "tRNA-Ile". The record is from RNAcentral. Lineage: Eukaryota; Metazoa; Chordata; Amphibia; Anura; Microhylidae.